Molecule: non-coding RNA, 339 nt
Organism: Vicia faba (fava bean)
Lineage: Eukaryota; Viridiplantae; Streptophyta; Magnoliopsida; Fabales; Fabaceae
Source: the annotation of a GenBank genome assembly
AAAAAAAACGAAAGUGGAAGGAAAUUGAAGAUUGAACAAAAAGACAGGACAGCGAGGCACAUGGCGACCAAAAAUAGUUAUAUAAAUCCUUCUACAACCUCACACACAAAUCUCACUUUUUUUCCCUUCAAUUUCAACCUUCACCUUUCACUUCCUCGUUCUUCUUCUUCCUCUUUCUUCUCCAUUCAUUCACCUCCUUUAUCCACAUUCAACAUACACAACAGUACGUAUCUUCUUCUCCUCAUUCUUUUCCAGAUCUGUUUCCUUCAUUUUUGUUUGUUCAUUUCUGCUAGUAUUCAUUUGUCGCUAUACUUUAUAAUUCUGAACGUAACACAGUAG